GAAUUUUGGGGUCCAAAAGAGACGCAUGGUCACAUUUUAAAACUGCCUUAUAGACACCUAUUUUAGUAAAGCAAAUUUGACUGGCAGUUUUGCGAAUGGCAAAAAUCUAAAUGCUGUUUGUCAGCAACUUCAACUUAUAUUCCAAGUGAAAACAAUUAAUUAAACGUUUAAUCAAAAUUAAUCAAAAUCAAAGUACAUGGGGGAUUAUUCAGGGUAUUCCAAC
This 223-nucleotide long non-coding RNA is filed under the name Mytilus galloprovincialis (Mediterranean mussel). Lineage: Eukaryota; Metazoa; Mollusca; Bivalvia; Mytilida; Mytilidae. The record is from RNAcentral.